Molecule: long non-coding RNA, 513 nt
Filed under: Linum usitatissimum (flax)
Lineage: Eukaryota; Viridiplantae; Streptophyta; Magnoliopsida; Malpighiales; Linaceae
Description: long non-coding RNA (LUSI_LNC001938)
Source: RNAcentral
CUGCUUCAGACUUCCAUAAUGAUUAUCAAAUUGGCCAUUCUGUAAUCGAUGAUUGGUUUCCCCUUCUGUGAAAAUGGAUGAUUUAGAGAACUUAUCAACUUGUUUUUGUUAUCUAUUAUCGUUUACGGACUUGUUUGAAUUAUUCUACAUUUCUUGUUUUCAGUAUUAUCGUGAUAUACUGCUGCCUUUGAUCUCUGUAUUUUCGUCGUAAAUGAUUAUUUGAUGAUCCGCGUUCUUGUUUUAAGUAUUUUCGCUCUAGGAGAUGCUAAUGUAGACUCAUUUAGGGUUUAGGGUUUCUUGGUUAAAAUAGAUUUGAGAUUGGUUGCUGCAUAUUCUGUUACCAGCAGUAUGUUCCAAGGAUGUGCUACUGGAGUUUCAUUCAGGGUUUGUGGGACGUUUAAAGCUUUGUAAUCUCGUCUUUUAUACUGUUUUUAUCUACUUCUCUCAUCAUUCAUAAAUAAAAACCCAUAGCCUUCAAUAAAUGGCCAAUCCUUCCUUUAAGAGAUAUUCAAC